RNAcentral lists this ribosomal RNA (510 nucleotides) under Stylurus annulatus. RNAcentral's name for it is "partial 16S rRNA". It matches the Rfam family "Bacterial large subunit ribosomal RNA", at positions 1829 to 2597 of the family's 2925-position model. Lineage: Eukaryota; Metazoa; Arthropoda; Insecta; Odonata; Gomphidae. The record is from RNAcentral.
GGCCUCUUGUUUAUAUAUGAGGUCUGACCUGCCCGGUGAAAUUAUUUUAACGGCCGCAGUAUUUUGACUGUGCAAAGGUAGCAUAAUCAUUAGUCUUUUAAUAGGGGGCUGGAAUGAAGGGUUUGACGAGGUGUUAACUGUCUCAUUAAAUUUUUUAUUAAAAUUUAACUUUUCAGUUAAAAGGCUGAAAUUUUAUUGGAAGACGAGAAGACCCUAUAGAGCUUUAUAAUUGAAUAUUUAAUUAUUAUUUGUUUAUUAUUUUUUAUUAUUUAUUUAAUUAUUUUGUUGGGGUGACAAAAAUAUAUAAUUAACUUUUUUAUUUGAUUAACAUUGAUUAAUGAAUAUUAGAUCCAAUCUUAUUGAUUGUUAGAUUAAGUUACCUUAGGGAUAACAGCGUAAUCUUCCUUCAGAGUUCAUAUUUACGGGAAGGCUUGCGACCUCGAUGUUGGAUUAAGAUAAUAGUUAGGUGUAGCCGCUUAAUGUAUAGGUCUGUUCGACCUUUAAAUUCUU